GGCAAUGUGGCUCAGUGGUGGAGUGCCAGCUUUGCAUGCUGAAAGUCCCAAGUUCAAUUCCUGGCAUCUCCA
Molecule: transfer RNA, 72 nt
Filed under: Sphaerodactylus townsendi
Lineage: Eukaryota; Metazoa; Chordata; Lepidosauria; Squamata; Sphaerodactylidae
Description: tRNA-Ala
Rfam family: tRNA
About the family: Transfer RNA (tRNA) molecules are approximately 80 nucleotides in length.
Source: RNAcentral